UGCGCAAGCAAAUCCCUUUCACACAAAUUGACACAUUUGGCAUGACAUGACAUGACUUGACUUGUAUUUACAUUGACAACCGGCAUGUUGUACUUCCAACAGUAAACAAAGCUUAGCAUGAAGUAGAAGCCCUAGGCUGCUUGCAACCAUGCUCUGGUAUUAGAUUUUCGGAGGCAGCUCUCUUUGGUCUUAACUUCUCUUCAGCUCGCUCAUAGAAGUUUCUCAGAAGAAUAUUUUUGGCUUCAGUAGUUAUCACUUGAUCAGGUGGUGGAAGAGUACGGUUGUGAGUAGGAUGAUAAGUAGCAGGAGUCAUUUUCGAUGGAUUGGAAGGAUCAGUGGGUCUAAGUUGGCUAAAGUUGUGAGGGUCAAAGGAAGGCCAGUCACCGAGCAUAGACCCCAUGGAAUGCGGGGUUUCGGUGGCCAAAUCUAGACAGAGAAAGAUAUCAGAAGAGGAAGAGCGAUAGAGAUGGUAUCUGUAAUGGGCCUCCCUAUUCUAGAACCAGCCU
This 506-nucleotide unclassified non-coding RNA is filed under the name Hevea brasiliensis (rubber tree). Lineage: Eukaryota; Viridiplantae; Streptophyta; Magnoliopsida; Malpighiales; Euphorbiaceae. The record is from RNAcentral.